RNAcentral lists this signal recognition particle RNA (97 nucleotides) under Micavibrio sp. TMED27. RNAcentral describes it as "signal recognition particle sRNA small type". It matches the Rfam family "Bacterial small signal recognition particle RNA". Rfam says of the family: The signal recognition particle (SRP) is a universally conserved ribonucleoprotein involved in the co-translational targeting of proteins to membranes. Archaeal SRP consists of a 7S RNA and homologues of the eukaryotic SRP19 and SRP54 proteins. RNAcentral also lists the same sequence under 1 other name. The record is from RNAcentral. Lineage: Bacteria; Pseudomonadati; Bdellovibrionota; Bdellovibrionia; Bdellovibrionales; Pseudobdellovibrionaceae.
AGCGGAAGGCUGGCGGGCGGCGUUUUCGCCAACCCGGUCAGGGCCGAAAGGCAGCAGCCGUAACGAAUUUCUCCGGGUCGUUCAGUCUUCCACCUUA